AUGGAAACGGAACUGGCCAUUCCUUGUAGGAUUCGCAAUCACCGGAACCCUAAUCACCAAGUUUUCUCUUGGCCUUAGUGAGGAAGAUUCUAAGAAGUCAAAAUUCGUUCAAGCGCACAAAAGGUGACUUAUGAAUGGUGACAUUUGCACUGGCUUUGCACUUUGUGUUAGGUUUGUCAAGAUUGCUUUGCUUGUCUUGAUGUUAUGGAUGUAAUAACAGGAGUGAUGCUCUAUAUAAGUCUCUAUCACCGUGUUACUAUUUUCAGUUCGGUUGUUUCCCCAAAUCUGUUUUUCAUAAAAUGCUAAGUAAUUUCUGAUUUGCUUUAUUGUAAUACUCAUUUUACGCAGAGUUUCUGAUGUUAUACAUUGACCAUAAUCUUGGGAAAAAUAGUGUACCUUUUACUUGUUGAAGUUUAUUACUAUUUGAUAUUCACUUAGUAAGUCGGUAUGUAUAGAAUUUCUUUAGUAUCAUGAAUAGGCUUUCUGUUCUUUGAUGGC
RNA transcript from Abrus precatorius (Indian licorice), 498 nucleotides. RefSeq lists it as uncharacterized. NCBI's taxonomy places the organism in Eukaryota, Viridiplantae, Streptophyta, Magnoliopsida, Fabales, Fabaceae. The transcript has 3 exons. The record is from RefSeq and is a predicted model, not a curated record.